This is a long non-coding RNA of Acinonyx jubatus (cheetah), 2923 nucleotides long. RefSeq lists it as uncharacterized. The transcript has 10 exons. The record is from RefSeq and is a predicted model, not a curated record. NCBI's taxonomy places the organism in Eukaryota, Metazoa, Chordata, Mammalia, Carnivora, Felidae.
AUAUAUAUAUAUAUAUAUAUAUCAUAUAUAUAUGAAUUUAUGGUUUUAGGUCUUACAUUUGAAUCUGUGUCUGAUUUUGAGUUAAUUUUCAUGUCUAAUGUGCGAUAAGGGCACAGACCCACCUGGCUGCCUGCAUGUUGAUAUCCAGCUUCCCCAGAACUGCUGAUAAGACUCUUCUUUCCCUGUUGAAUUUUUUUGGCACCUUUAUUGAAACUCAAUUGACUAUAAAUAUAAGGGUUUAUUUCUAGACAUUCAGUUCUUUCCAUCGGAUCUAUAUGUCUGUCCUAAUGCCAUUACCACACUGUCUAGGGUACUUCAGCUUUGUGGUAAGUUUUGAAAGUAAGAAUUAUGUCUUCCAACUUUGUCUUUUUCCAGAGUGUCUUGGGUAUUCUGGUUCUUUUGCAUUUCCAUAUAAAUUUUAGGAUCAGCUUGUCAGUUCCUUCAGGCGCCCAGCUGAGAUUUUGGUAUAAAUUGUGUUGAGUCUAUGAAGGAAUUUUGGGAGUUUUGCUGUCUUGACAGUAUUGAAUUUUCUGAUCCAUGAACAGGGGUGACCUUUCAUGCAUUUAAGCCUUCAGUCUCUUCCAGCAGUGCGUUUCGUGUCCGAAUCUUGCUCCACCUGUCAUUUUUGAAAGAGUUUUGCCAGCGAAAGAAUUGUAAGUCGAUCAUUUUUUCCCUUUCACCAGUUUAGAGAUGUGACCCCACUGUCUUAUAGCUUGCUUUGUUUCCCACAGGAGUCCGGCUGUCACACUUCUCUUUAGUUCUAUCCAGGUGACACCCCUACCCCACCUGCCCGCCCCCACCCUGCCUCUUUUAAGGUUUUUAUUCAUCCUUGGUUUUAAGCAGUGUGAUAAUAAUGUGGCCCAGUGUGGUGUUUUCAUGUUUGUCAUACUUGGGGCUUGUAGAUCUUGGUUCUACAGGUUAAAUGGGGGAGAACUCUCAUUCCCAUUGGGAGUUUUGUGGCCCUGAAGCAUGGUGUUCCUCUGUUUGUUAGGUGUUCUUUGAUUUCUUUCACCAGUAUUUCAUAGUUUCACCAUGCAGAUCCUGUGCACGUUUUGUUGAUUUCCAUUUAAGUAUUUCAUUUUUUGGAAUGGUUAUUAUAAAUAGUAAUACAUUUUUUUUAAAAAGAUCAUUUUUACAUGUUCGUUGAGAGUGCAUAGAAAUACAGGUGAUUUUGUGUUUUGAUCUUGUAUCCUGCAACCUUGCUAUCCUGACACGUUAGUUCCAGGAAGUUUUUUGGUUUUUUUAAAAUGUUUAUUUAUUAUUGAGAGGGAGAGAGAGAGAGAGACAGAGCAUGAGUAGGGGACGGGCAGAGAGAGAGGGAGACCCAGAAUCUGAAGCAGGCUCCAAGCUCUGAACUGUCAGCACAGAGCCCGACGCGGGGCUCAAACUCACAAAUUGCAAGAUCAUGACCUGAGCCGAAGUCAGACGCUCAACCGACUGAGCCACCCAGGAGCCCCUUUUGUAAAUUCCUUUGGGUUUGCUACACAGACACUUGUGUCAUCUAUAAAUAGGGACCGUAUUCUUCCUUUCUGAUUUAUAUGACUUUUAUUUCUUUUUCCUGUUGUAUUACACUGGCUAAGAUUUCUGCUGUGAUGUUGAAUAGAGAGGAGACCAGAUUCGGAGAGUAUGAUCAUGGGGUUAGCUUUUGGCUAAAAGAGCUCUUUAUUUACAAAUUAAUUUUAGGCCUUUUCUUUCUGCUUAAUUAUAAAACCUAUCUUUCUUGAAUACGUGCAUUGUUUAUGUUUAGUUUUGAAACUUUAUUUGUGUUCACAGGCUCUUAUUUCCUCUGUUAAAGGCAUCAUGGUGUCACUGCAGAGCCGUGCAGUUGGCAGUGGUCCCCUGGACAUCCCAGCUUCUGACGGCGCCCCCAGGGGAAGUCUCCACAUCCAGUCCACGGUGUAACUACAUAGAAAUGGAGCCUCCUCCGAUGGGGCCAAGAGCAUGAGGCAUAUAAUCAGUUUUCCAGGUUUACGGUUUAUGGCAACUAUUUUGUACUUUGGAGCUUCCUCUGAUACCAGUUUUGGCAGUGAUGGAAAACCGCAGCAUUCGGGUGAACGGAGAAGAAAUGAAGAGGACUUCAGCACUUCUUGGGUCUCGUCUCAAGGAAUCGGAGCAGGAAGCUCAUUUUGUGGCAGGAGAACAGUUUCUUAAAACGAGUAAUAAUCAGCUUCGAGAGUUAAAUGCCCUGCAAGAUCUUCAUCCGUUACCCAAGAUAAUUUUGGAAUAUAGGCGGGUUCACAAGACCAAGUCAGCCUUCGUGGAUGGAUUACCAGCUCGCAUGAAAAAGGGCUCCAUUUCCUGUACGUGGAAUCAGACAGGAACUGUGACUGGAAGACUUUCAGCGAGGCGCUCAAAUAUUCAAGGUAUCUCCAAGCACCCAAUUCGGAUUACUAAACCGCAGUAUUUUAAAGCUGAACAGGAAUCUAGGUUUGGCUUCAUUAAGUUGGAGAACCUCUGACCUUUUGCAUGCCCUGGCCCCUGGGUACCCACCGUGACUCUGCCCAUCUGUUGCUAGUGGGCCAAAGGCAGGGGACCUGAAUAGACAUUUUUCCAAAGAAGACGUACAGAUGGCCAACAGACACCUGAAAAAAUGUUCAACACCCUUCGUCAUCAGGGCAAUGCAAACCAGAACCACAAUGAACUAUCAUCUCACCUGUCGGAAUGGCUAAAAAAAAAAAAAAGACAAGAAAUAAGGUGUGUAGGCAAGGAUGCGGAGGAAAAGGGAAGCCUCGUGCGUUGUGGGAAUGUGAGGUGGUGUAGCCACCGUGGAAAACAGUAUGGAGGUUCUCAAAAAUUAAAAGCAGAAAUACCAUAUGAUCAGUUAUUCUGCUACUGGGUAUUUACCAAAACAAAAGGAAAAGACUAAUUUGAAAAGACAUAUGCCCCCCUACGUUCAUUGCAGCACUAUUUAUAAUAGCCAAGG